Molecule: non-coding RNA, 1544 nt
Filed under: Brassica napus (rape)
Lineage: Eukaryota; Viridiplantae; Streptophyta; Magnoliopsida; Brassicales; Brassicaceae
Description: Eukaryotic small subunit ribosomal RNA
Rfam family: Eukaryotic small subunit ribosomal RNA (bases 1-923)
Source: Rfam by way of RNAcentral
UACCUGGUUGAUCGUGCCAGUAGUCAUAUUCUUGUCUCAAAGAUUAAGCCAUGCAUGUGUAAGUAUGAACGAAUUCAGAUUGUGAAACUGUGUAUGGCUCAUUAAAUCAGUUAUAGUUUGUUUGAUUGUAACUACUACUCGGAUAACUGUAGUGAUUCUAGAGCUAAUACGUCCCCGACUUCUGGAAGGGAUGCAUUUAUUAGAUAAGAGGUCGAGGUGGGCUCUGCCCGUUGCUCUGAUGAUUCAUGAUAACUCGACGGAUCGCAUGGCCUUAGUGCUGGCGACGCAUCAUUCAAAUUUCUGCCCUAUCAACUUUUGAUGGUAGGAUAGUGGCCUACCACGGUGGUAACGGGUGACAGAGAAUUAGGGUUUGAUUCCGGUGAGGGAGCCUGAGAAACGGCUACCACAUCCAAGGAAGGCAGCAGGCGCACAAAUUAGCCAAUCCUGACAUGGGGAGGUAGUGACAAUAAAUAACAAUACCGGGCUCUUUGAGUCUAGUAAUUGGAAUGAGUACAAUCUAAAUCCCUUAACGAGGAUCCAUUGGAGGGCAAGUAUGGUGCCAGAAGCUGCGGUAAUUCCAGCUCCAAUAGCGUAUAUUUAAGUUGUUGCAGUUAAAAAGCUCGUAGUUGAACCUUGGGAUGGGUCGCCCGUUCCACCUUCGGUGAGCACCGGUUGUAAGACCCGAUCCCGGCCGCCUAGGCCGCGGUCGAUGCCUCACGUCGCUCGGUCCACUUCCUGGCCGAACCUCUUAAUUUCUGCCCUUUAUUUAUAAUAUCGCCUAAAGGCGAGGGCUAACUUAGACCAUAGCUAAAGACUUACCUAGUCAUUAAUAGCCUAGAUCCUUUCAACAGAUACGCAGCGGAAUAUUCUCUAGUUAACCAUUGAUCUAAAACCAAUCUAACACUUGUCUGGUCGAAUCACCUUAGCCUUGGUCAGUUUACUCAACUACCAAUUAGGUUAAAGGUCAAUCCUAAACCCAAACCAAGCCAUACGAUUCUGAGCUUCCAUUCCCCUAAACCAUUCUAUCUAGAUCUACAUAAGUAAAUGCUAGAUCAUACCUUUGCCACAUCUAUGGAGCUUAUUAGCUCAUCGGUCCUCCAUUGACUCGAAUUGCUCUUGCUUAACAACUGAACCAUGAUCACUCAAUGAUCUUACUUAUGGUCCUUAUCUUGACUCCUGCGUGAAACAGCUCCCCUAGGUACUUAGUCAUUCAACCAACCAUCCCCACAGACAUAAGUAACCUUUGAGAAGUCUUUGAAAGGAUAAGGGUUUGCAUCUGGCCUUUCUCGGCUCAUGCACAAUCCAAAAUCCUUCUGCCUUAUAGGAAAUAGUACCAAGUCCAUCUUCUGGACUGACAAAGCUCAUUAGAUCCUAAGUCAAUUAACCAACUAUCCUCACAUGACUUGGAACUGAUGAGUCAUCUUCUGGCCUGACCGGCCUUGGAACUUAACCCAGACAACAUAUAUGAUUUGUUCAUACCAACCGAUGCAUUCAGUAAUCAGGUUAGGACCGACACCUUAAACCAUCAUUCAGAGGUCAGGUCU